GGAUAACCUCCCCCCUUUGUUUAUUAUACCUUUGUUGCUUUGGCGGGCCCGUCCUCGGACCACCGGCUUCGGCUGGUCAGUGCCCGCCAGAGGACCUAAAACUCUGUUUGUUCAUAUUGUCUGAGUACUAUAUAAUAGUUAAAACUUUCAACAACGGAUCUCUUGGUUCUGGCAUCGAUGAAGAACGCAGCGAAAUGCGAUAAGUAAUGUGAAUUGCAGAAUUCAGUGAAUCAUCGAAUCUUUGAACGCACAUUGCGCCCCCUGGUAUUCCGGGGGGCAUGCCUGUUCGAGCGUCAUUACAACCCUCAAGCUCUGCUUGGUAUUGGGCUCUGCCGGUCCCGGCAGGCCUUAAAAUCAGUGGCGGUGCCAUUCGGCUUCAAGCGUAGUAAUUCUUCUCGCUUUGGAGACCCCGGGUGCGUGCUUGCCAGCAACCCCCAAUUUUUUCAGGUUGACCUCGGAUCAGGUAGGGAUACCCGCUGAACUUAAGCAUAUCAUACGGGG
This 501-nucleotide ribosomal RNA is filed under the name Pseudeurotium bakeri. RNAcentral describes it as "eukaryotic LSU rRNA". The stretch from base 143 to 296 matches the Rfam family "5.8S ribosomal RNA". Lineage: Eukaryota; Fungi; Ascomycota; Leotiomycetes; Thelebolales; Pseudeurotiaceae. The record is from RNAcentral.